This 1134-nucleotide long non-coding RNA is filed under the name Nicotiana benthamiana. RNAcentral describes it as "long non-coding RNA (NBEN_LNC029559)". The record is from RNAcentral. Lineage: Eukaryota; Viridiplantae; Streptophyta; Magnoliopsida; Solanales; Solanaceae.
CUCCUUUUGCUUUUCCAUGUAUGCUUAAAAUAUUAUGACAGCCAACACAAAGAAAAAAACAGAGAAUGAAAUUGAAAAAGCAGGAGAUAGAGAAUUAUACCUUUAGAUGUCUAAAAAGAAUGAGAUGGAUGACACAAAAGUAUCGACCAUUAAGGGAAAAUGGUAAGCUCCUCCCAAUAAACUCAUCAUAAUGAGUGAACUCUUUACAAAUUUAACAACAUACUAAGUAAAUAGAAUGGCUCAAUACAAAAAAAAAUAUGAAUUAAAUCUCAAAAUAUGCUGUUCCAAACGUAGUAUAAUUUCUCUAAAAAAUGGUGCUUCUGAUGAGCAGUGUGAAAAACAGUGAUCCAAUAGCAGCAAAAAUAGAGAUAGGCAAUUUCCCAGAAGAUGAUUGAUUAGCAGAUUGGACAGGAAUCGAGCCAAAAACAGUAGGGUAAGCAGGCGAAUCUGCAGAUGGAGCAAAAGCAGGUGAAUCUUCUUCAUAUGUUGUUCCAUUUCCUCCUGGUAUUGAAAUAUGAAGUUUCUGUGACUUUUCACAGUGUCCUUCUGCUCCACUUGUGAAGUAAAAUUCCCCAGGUUUUGUAAUGUUGAAUAGAGAAUUUCCAUUGUUCAUAUACAAGAUUGGAUUUUUAAGGUUGCAACUAUUGUAAUUCGCUUUCGUCACUUGUAUUACUGAAUCCUCACUAGGUGGGUACAAAAACAUGAUUGGAUCUCCAAUUUUGAAGACAUGAUUCUUGGACCAUUUGGUAUAGACAUCUUUAUUUGCAGAAGAGGGCUGCAAAAAAAAAGAAGAUUAAUUCAAGAGCCAAAUUGAUGGGGUUGAAUAUUUUAUUAGAGGGUAUGUAGGAAUAGGAAAAUCUUGAAGAUCUAAGCAAGAAAUGGGAGGCUUACUGAUUGAAUCUUCAAUUUUGAAGACAUGAUUCUUGGACCAUUUGGUAUAGACAUCUUUAUUUGCAGAAGAGGGUACAUUCCAAGCACUUAAAUCUCCAACUUUGUACUGAUAACACAACACUUUGGUUUGUAUUAAUAGAAAGAACUGAAAAAGAAUGUACAAAGAAUGGUACUUUCUUGGAAUACUAAGAGUAGCCAUAACUUGCGCAACUUUGUCUCUCUUCGCUCUUUGUUUCCUUUUUG